GACGAACGCUGGCGGCGUGCCUAAUACAUGCAAGUAGAACGCUGAAGGAGGAGCUUGCUUCUCUGGAUGAGUUGCGAACGGGUGAGUAACGCGUAGGUAACCUGCCUGGUAGCGGGGGAUAACUAUUGGAAACGAUAGCUAAUACCGCAUAAUAUUGAUUAUUGCAUGAUAGUCAAUUAAAAGGUGCAAUUGCAUCACUACCAGAUGGACCUGCGUUGUAUUAGCUAGUUGGUGGGGUAACGGCUCACCAAGGCGACGAUACAUAGCCGACCUGAGAGGGUGAUCGGCCACACUGGGACUGAGACACGGCCCAGACUCCUACGGGAGGCAGCAGUAGGGAAUCUUCGGCAAUGGCCGGAAGUCUGACCGAGCAACGCCGCGUGAGUGAAGAAGGUUUUCGGAUCGUAAAGCUCUGUUGUAAGAGAAGUACGAGUGUGAGAGUGGAAAGUUCACAACUGUGACGG
This 464-nucleotide ribosomal RNA is filed under the name Streptococcus sp. oral taxon 058. RNAcentral describes it as "bacterial SSU rRNA". It matches the Rfam family "Bacterial small subunit ribosomal RNA", at positions 28 to 475 of the family's 1533-position model. The record is from RNAcentral. Lineage: Bacteria; Bacillati; Bacillota; Bacilli; Lactobacillales; Streptococcaceae.